RNAcentral lists this ribosomal RNA (500 nucleotides) under uncultured bacterium. Its description in RNAcentral is "partial 16S ribosomal RNA". It matches the Rfam family "Bacterial small subunit ribosomal RNA", at positions 30 to 523 of the family's 1533-position model. The record is from RNAcentral.
AUUGAACGCUGGCGGAAUGCUUUACACAUGCAAGUCGAACGGCAGCACGGGGGCAACCCUGGUGGCGAGUGGCGAACGGGUGAGUAAUAUAUCGGAACGUGCCCAGUCGUGGGGGAUAACGUAGCGAAAGUUACGCUAAUACCGCAUACGAUCUACGGAUGAAAGCGGGGGAUCGCAAGACCUCGCGCGAUUGGAGCGGCCGAUAUCAGAUUAGGUAGUUGGUGGGGUAAGGGCUCACCAAGACAACGAUCUGUAGCUGGUCUGAGAGGACGACCAGCCACACUGGGACUGAGACACGGCCCAGACUCCUACGGGAGGCAGCAGUGGGGAAUUUUAGACAAUGGGCGCAAGCCUGAUCCAGCCAUUCCGCGUGCAGGACGAAGGCCUUCGGGUUGUAAACUGCUUUUGUACGGAACGAAAAAGCCUUGGCUAAUACCCAGGGUCCAUGACGGUACCGUAAGAAUAAGCACCGGCUAACUACGUGCCAGCCGCCGCGGUAA